This 497-nucleotide ribosomal RNA is filed under the name uncultured bacterium. RNAcentral's name for it is "partial 16S ribosomal RNA". It matches the Rfam family "Bacterial small subunit ribosomal RNA", at positions 28 to 507 of the family's 1533-position model. The record is from RNAcentral.
GAUGAACGCUGGCGGCGUGCCUAAUACAUGCAAGUCGAGCGAACGGACGAGAAGCUUGCUUCUCUGAUGUUAGCGGCGGACGGGUGAGUAACACGUGGAUAACCUACCUAUAAGACUGGGAUAACUUCGGGAAACCGGAGCUAAUACCGGAUAAUAUUUUGAACCGCAUGGUUCAAAAGUGAAAGACGGUCUUGCUGUCACUUAUAGAUGGAUCCGCGCUGCAUUAGCUAGUUGGUAAGGUAACGGCUUACCAAGGCAACGAUGCAUAGCCGACCUGAGAGGGUGAUCGGCCACACUGGAACGGGACCACGGUCCAGACUCCUACGGGAGGCAGCAGUAGGGAAUGUUCCGCAAUGGGCGAAAGCCUGACGGAGCAACGCCACGUGAGUGAUGAAGGUCUUCGGAUCGUAAAACUCUGUUAUUAGGGAAGAACAUAUGUGUAAGUAACUGUGCACAUCUUGACGGUACCUAAUCAGAAAGCCACGGCUAACUACGUG